GACGAACGCUGGCGGCGUGCUUAACACAUGCAAGUCGAACGGAAAGGCCCCUUCGGGGGUACUCGCGCGGCGAACAGAUGAGUAACACGUGAGUAACUUGCCCUUGCUUUAGGGUUAAAUUACGGCAACUGGGUCUAAUAACGGAUAGGAAUCCUCGCCGCCUGGAGGGGGUUGGAAAGAUUCUGUGGUUUUGGAUGGAUUCGCGGCCUACCAGUUUGCUGGUGGGGUAGUGGGUUACCAAGGCAUUCACGGGUGGGCGGCCUGAGAGGGAGAGCGGCCACAUUGGGACUUGGGUUCGGCCCAGGCUCCUACGGGGGGCAGCAAGUGGGGAUAAUUCACAAUGGGCGGGAGCCUGGAUGAACAACGCCGGGUGCGGGGUUACGGCCUUCGGGGUGGAAACCGCUUUCAGCAGGGGCGGAGGCUGUAGUGACGGUACCUGCAAAAGAAGCACCGGCUAACUACGUG
This 465-nucleotide ribosomal RNA is filed under the name uncultured bacterium. Its description in RNAcentral is "partial 16S ribosomal RNA". It matches the Rfam family "Bacterial small subunit ribosomal RNA", at positions 28 to 507 of the family's 1533-position model. The record is from RNAcentral.